AGAGUUUGAUCCUGGCUCAGGAUGAACGCUGGCGGCGUGCCUAACACAUGCAAGUCGAGCGAAGCAAUUAAGAGGAAGUUUUCGGAUGGAAUGUUAAUUGACUGAGCGGCGGACGGGUGAGUAACGCGUGGGUAACCUGCCUCAUACAGGGGGAUAACAGUUAGAAAUGACUGCUAAUACCGCAUAAGCACACAGAACCGCAUGGUUCGGGGUGAAAAGCCGAGACGGUAUGAGAUGGACCCGCGUCUGAUUAGCUAGUUGGAGGGGUAACGGCCCACCAAGGCAACGAUCAGUAGCCGACCUGAGAGGGUGACCGGCCACAUUGGGACUGAGACACGGCCCAGACUCCUACGGGAGGCAGCAGUGAGGAAUAUUGGUCAAUGGGCGGGAGCCUGAACCAGCCAAGCCGCGUGAGGGAAGAAGGUACAGCGUAUCGUAAACCUCUUUUGUCAGGGAACAAAGGCGGGGACUAGUCCCCGGAUGAGGGUACCUGAAGAAAAAGCAUCGGCUAACUCCGUGCCAGCAGCCGCGGUAAUACGGAGGAUGCGAGCGUUAUCCGGAUUUAUUGGGUUUAAAGGGUGCGCGGGCGGCCUGUUAAGUCAGCGGUAAAAGCCCGGGGCUCAACCCCGGCGAGCCGUUGAAACUGGCGGGCUGGAGUUGGAGAGAAGUACGCGGAAUGCGCGGUGUAGCGGUGAAAUGCUUAGAUAUCGCGCAGAACCCCGAUUGCGAAGGCAGCGUACCGGCUCCACACUGACGCUGAGGCACGAAAGCGUGGGUAUCGAACAGGAUUAGAUACCCUGGUAGUCCACGCAGUAAACGAUGAAUGCUUGCUGUCCGGGCAGAGAUAUGCCUGGGGGGCGAAGCGAAAGCGAUAAGCAUUCCACCUGGGGAGUACGCCGGCAACGGUGAAACUCAAAGGAAUUGACGGGGGCCCGCACAAGCGGAGGAACAUGUGGUUUAAUUCGAUGAUACGCGAGGAACCUUACCCGGGCUCAAACGGGAGACGGCAGGGGCAGAGACGCCCCUUUCCCUCGGGACGUCUUCCGAGGUGCUGCAUGGUUGUCGUCAGCUCGUGCCGUGAGGUGUCGGCUUAAGUGCCAUAACGAGCGCAACCCCCGCGUGCAGUUGCCAGCAGGAAAGGCUGGGGACUCUGCACGGACUGCCGGCGCAAGCCGCGAGGAAGGCGGGGAUGACGUCAAAUCAGCACGGCCCUUACGUCCGGGGCGACACACGUGUUACAAUGGGGGGUACAGCGGGAAGCCAGGCGGCGACGCCGAGCGGAACCCGAAAGCCCCUCUCAGUUCGGAUCGGAGUCUGCAACCCGAGUCCGUGAAGCUGGAUUCGCUAGUAAUCGCGCAUCAGCCAUGGCGCGGUGAAUACGUUCCCGGGCCUUGCACACACCGCCCGUCAAG
Molecule: ribosomal RNA, 1412 nt
Filed under: uncultured bacterium
Lineage: Bacteria
Description: partial 16S ribosomal RNA
Rfam family: Bacterial small subunit ribosomal RNA
Source: RNAcentral